UUAACUUAUUAUAUAGUACUCAGACGACACUAAACACAGAGUUGGGGUCCUCUGGCAGGCACACCUCAGCCGGAGCCGAGAGCCCGAAGGCGGCCUGCCAAAGCAACAAUAGUAAAUAACACAGGGUGGGAGGUCUACCCGUGAGGGCAUGAUCUCUGUAAUGAUCCUUCCGCUGGUUCACCAACGGAAA
RNAcentral lists this unclassified non-coding RNA (190 nucleotides) under uncultured fungus. RNAcentral describes it as "sequence contains ITS1". The record is from RNAcentral. Lineage: Eukaryota; Fungi.